This 1381-nucleotide ribosomal RNA is filed under the name Microbacterium sp. RNAcentral's name for it is "bacterial SSU rRNA". It matches the Rfam family "Bacterial small subunit ribosomal RNA". The record is from RNAcentral. Lineage: Bacteria; Bacillati; Actinomycetota; Actinomycetes; Micrococcales; Microbacteriaceae. RNAcentral also lists the same sequence under 1 other name.
GUCGAACGGUGAAGCCAAGCUUGCUUGGUGGAUCAGUGGCGAACGGGUGAGUAACACGUGAGCAACCUGCCCUGGACUCUGGGAUAAGCGCUGGAAACGGCGUCUAAUACUGGAUAUGAGACGUGAUCGCAUGGUCGUGUUUGGAAAGAUUUUUCGGUCUGGGAUGGGCUCGCGGCCUAUCAGCUUGUUGGUGAGGUAAUGGCUCACCAAGGCGUCGACGGGUAGCCGGCCUGAGAGGGUGACCGGCCACACUGGGACUGAGACACGGCCCAGACUCCUACGGGAGGCAGCAGUGGGGAAUAUUGCACAAUGGGCGAAAGCCUGAUGCAGCAACGCCGCGUGAGGGAUGACGGCCUUCGGGUUGUAAACCUCUUUUAGCAGGGAAGAAGCGAAAGUGACGGUACCUGCAGAAAAAGCGCCGGCUAACUACGUGCCAGCAGCCGCGGUAAUACGUAGGGCGCAAGCGUUAUCCGGAAUUAUUGGGCGUAAAGAGCUCGUAGGCGGUUUGUCGCGUCUGCUGUGAAAUCCCGAGGCUCAACCUCGGGCCUGCAGUGGGUACGGGCAGACUAGAGUGCGGUAGGGGAGAUUGGAAUUCCUGGUGUAGCGGUGGAAUGCGCAGAUAUCAGGAGGAACACCGAUGGCGAAGGCAGAUCUCUGGGCCGUAACUGACGCUGAGGAGCGAAAGGGUGGGGAGCAAACAGGCUUAGAUACCCUGGUAGUCCACCCCGUAAACGUUGGGAACUAGUUGUGGGGACCAUUCCACGGUUUCCGUGACGCAGCUAACGCAUUAAGUUCCCCGCCUGGGGAGUACGGCCGCAAGGCUAAAACUCAAAGGAAUUGACGGGGACCCGCACAAGCGGCGGAGCAUGCGGAUUAAUUCGAUGCAACGCGAAGAACCUUACCAAGGCUUGACAUAUACGAGAACGGGCCAGAAAUGGUCAACUCUUUGGACACUCGUAAACAGGUGGUGCAUGGUUGUCGUCAGCUCGUGUCGUGAGAUGUUGGGUUAAGUCCCGCAACGAGCGCAACCCUCGUUCUAUGUUGCCAGCACGUAAUGGUGGGAACUCAUGGGAUACUGCCGGGGUCAACUCGGAGGAAGGUGGGGAUGACGUCAAAUCAUCAUGCCCCUUAUGUCUUGGGCUUCACGCAUGCUACAAUGGCCGGUACAAAGGGCUGCAAUACCGUGAGGUGGAGCGAAUCCCAAAAAGCCGGUCCCAGUUCGGAUUGAGGUCUGCAACUCGACCUCAUGAAGUCGGAGUCGCUAGUAAUCGCAGAUCAGCAACGCUGCGGUGAAUACGUUCCCGGGUCUUGUACACACCGCCCGUCAAGUCAUGAAAGUCGGUAACACCUGAAGCCGGUGGCCCAACCCUUGUGGAGGGAG